UUUUCCUUUUUUUUUAAUUUACCUUGUGGGGCUGUGGGAAAUGAGCAAUCCUUCUGGCUGUCAAUAUUGCCAGCGGCGCCGCUGCCCCGGGACCGGCGUCAGCCUCGCGCCCACCCGGAGCUGGCACGAUGGGGGCAGAGCCGACGGGGCUCUUGCACCUCCCAGAAAAUGGCUUUUGCAUCAGCUCUCCCCCCUUCCCACCUUGCCCAUGCAGAUGUUUUCUUCUAUUUAUUCCACCCCAGCCCUUCUCUUUCCUUCCCCUGCCUUUGAUGCGGGCUCAGCUACUCUGCAGGGUCUUUUUUUACAUCUUGCAAAGGAAAGCCCAGCUUUUGCAGCAAAGCAACACCCACAAAAUGCUCCCAGGGCUGGGGGGCACCUCCUCUGCCCCUCUCCUCUCCCCCCACCCAUCAUUUUCCCUCUCAGUAACAGCCAGGGCUCUCACAGUGGCUUUUGGGGUCACCUCACCCCAAUCAGAGGGGUUUUCUCCCAUGCUUUCAGGACUGGGGAGAAGCAACCUGAGCUUCCAGGUGGCCAGGGAGGGCAGGGCAUCAUCUGCACCCUAAUUAAGUGCUAAUGAAGUGAUGUGGUGCAGCUGAGUGUGGCUGGGGGCAAGGAGACAAAGAGGAGAUAAAAGGGGCUGGAAGAGGGCUUGUGGGGCCUUUUUGGGGCAGAGUUGGGGACCUGAGGACUGCAGGGACACCUCUCCUGCUUGUGGUCCAAAACUACUUUGGUAAAUAUCAAGUAAAUAGACUGAAGAGGAUUCAUUUCAGCAGCUCGGAUUGUCAGGACUUCAGCCCGAGAGCACAUCCUUCAACGGGGAGACAAAGGGAGGAGGAAGGCUCCCGUCCCUCCCCAAAAAAGCAAUCAGGAAAUUCUCAGCGCGUCGGGCUGACCCAGAAUGAGCAGUGAAGCAGGUGGCUGGGUGGAGACCCUAAAAGUCUUGGGGGGGGCUGAAAUGUGCCCCGUGGAGCCGUGGUGUGUGUGGGUAGGGUGGCAGCAGAGCUCGGGGUGUGGGGUUUUGACCUCCUGGUGCUGGACAGCCAGCCCCUAGGGACUCCCAUGUGGCUGUGCCUCCCUUACACCGUGGCUGUGAUCUUUUUUGGGGAAGGGUCCCCUGGGAGUUUUGUGGUCUAGUUGCUGAUAAAUAUUUGCUGGUGCUCCUGCUGCCCCGAAGUGGCACUUCCCAGGUGCACAGCCCCAGGGCUGAGCCCUCUGCUCACCGCAGAUCCCAGCCGAGCUGUCUGCGCUCAGGCCUUCAGCCGGCAUGUACAGGCAGGUGGGGAGAGGAAAAAAUAGAAGCUUCCAGCCUCCGAAAGCGAGCUGAGGGUUUGUAAACUUGACCCAAAUAAACACAGUGCGGGACGGCUUCCUUGAGUCAGCAGAGAGCCUAAAAUAGUGCCUGGUGCGACCUCCUCCAUCCCGCUGCGUCUGGAGCCUGGAAAUGCCACCCAGAAAGGUUGGGUGGAGCUGCCCGGUGGAUGGGAAGAAGGCAACGUGGUGUUUCCAACAAAGCCUUGGUUCCUCGGCGUGCCUCGAGGUGGUCAGCAGCCCGGCCACGUUGACUGGGCAUAUUUUUUUACUCUUUUUGAACCGAUGCAGCUCACCUUGGUCCAGCAAGGAGCGCGCGCGGCAGCCGCCUGUCAUCAAUUCAGAUACCUCCCUCCCCUCGUUUCAAGGACUUGUGAGAGCAAGAGGCUUGUGGCUACGGAGAUUUACACCCCCUCGGCAAGGGUUAACCUCAUCUCGCCGCCACUAUUGUCUCAGGACAAGUUGUCAGUCUGUGAGAACGUGCCGUAAUGGAUUUGAAGUGGAUUGCUCAGCCCACGGAGAGGGUGAUGCUGUAUUUAUUGAAUAGACAUUAAAAAGAACAUUUCUCAAUUUCUCA
Non-coding RNA from Anas platyrhynchos (mallard), 1885 nucleotides. The record is from RefSeq and is a predicted model, not a curated record. NCBI's taxonomy places the organism in Eukaryota, Metazoa, Chordata, Aves, Anseriformes, Anatidae.